GACGAACGCUGGCGGCGUGCCUAAUACAUGCAAGUCGAACGCAGUGGGGACGGGUGAGUAACACGUGGGUAACCUCCCAUCGAAGGGGAUAACCCUUGGAAACAGGUGCUAAACUGAUAUUGAUGGAUGGACCCUGGUUGCAUUGGCUAGUUGGUGAGGUAGCGGCUCACCAGGGCCACGAGGCAUAGCCGACCUGAGAGGGUGAGCGGCCACACUGGGACGGAGACACGGCCCAGACGCAUACGGGAGGAAGCAGUAGGGAAGUUUCGGCAAUGGACGAAAGUCUGACCGAGCAACGCCGCGGGAGUGAAGAAGGCUUUCGGAUCGUAAAACUCUGUUGUUAGAGAAGCGGUAUCUAACCAGAAAGCCACGGCUAACUACGUGCCAGCAGCCGCGGUAAUAC
This 403-nucleotide ribosomal RNA is filed under the name uncultured bacterium. RNAcentral describes it as "partial 16S ribosomal RNA". It matches the Rfam family "Bacterial small subunit ribosomal RNA", at positions 28 to 526 of the family's 1533-position model. The record is from RNAcentral.